Pelobates cultripes (western spadefoot toad) is the source of this 721-nucleotide non-coding RNA. NCBI's taxonomy places the organism in Eukaryota, Metazoa, Chordata, Amphibia, Anura, Pelobatidae. The record is from the annotation of a GenBank genome assembly.
AUUUCCUCCCAGUUACUUUUGUGUAUCUGUCUCCUCUUCUUCAUCCCUCUAUGUCUCUUUCUCCCCCAAGCACAACUGUGUGUGUUUAUUUCUCCUAGCAUCUUGUCUCUUACUCCCCCUCUCCCCCUGGGUGUCUCUCCCCAGCCCCUUUCUGUCUCUUUUGCCCCUUCCCUAGACCCCGUCUGCCUCUUUUGACCCUUACCCAGCCCCUCUAUGUGUCUUUGUGUCAGGGUGUCUUCCCCCAGCCACAGUCUGUCUAUUUUGCACCUCCGUAUGACUCUUUCUCCCCCCAGCCCCUCUGUGUCUCUUUGUGUUGACCAGCCACUCUGGGUAUCCCUCCUCAGCCCAUGUCUGUCACUUGAACCCAUGUUGGUCUCUUUUGCCCAUUCCAGAGCCCCUCUGUGUCUCUUUGUGUCCCUCUAGCCCAUCUGGUGUCUCCCUCUCAGCCCCUUUUGUUAUGGGCAAAUGCAAAUAUUACAAGUUUUAGAAUGAAAUGUUGUAUUUCUUAAACUGUGUACUUUGUCUUUAAGAAUAAUUGCAAAUUGACAAGGUGUUAGAAAUUGAACAUAUUGUUUUUCAUAGAUGUUUCUUUAAGCAAUAAGCUCAGCGCAUAAUAUGUUUGCGCCAUUUUGUCCCAGACGAAUUACAAUAACAAUAAUACAUAAACAAGCUUCAAGGCUAUACUACGACUCUUUCAAUACACAAUAUACUGUGGUAACCC